UACGUAGGGACCAAGCGUUGUUCGGAUUUACUGGGCGUAAAGGGCGCGUAGGCGGCGCGGUAAGUCACUUGUGAAAUCUCUGAGCUUAACUCAGAACGGCCAAGUGAUACUGCAGUGCUAGAGUGUGGAAGGGGCAAUCGGAAUUCUUGGUGUAGCGGUGAAAUGCGUAGAUAUCAAGAGGAACACCGGUGGCGAAGGCGGGUCUCUGGGCCGAUGACUGACGCUGAGGAGCGAAAGCGUGGGGAGCGAACAGGA
Molecule: ribosomal RNA, 255 nt
Filed under: uncultured bacterium
Lineage: Bacteria
Description: partial 16S ribosomal RNA
Rfam family: Bacterial small subunit ribosomal RNA
Source: RNAcentral